CGCGUAGGCGGCCGAGCGGGUCGCGGGUGAAAUCCUCCAGCUUAACUGGAGAACUGCCCUCGAUACCACUGCGGCUCGAGGAAGGAAGGGGCAAUUGGAACUGUCGGUGGAGCGGUGAAAUGCGUUGAUAUCGACAGGAACGCCUGUGGCGAAAGCGAAUUGCUGGUCCUUUUCUGACGCUGAUGCGCGAAAGCCAGGGAGCAAACG
This 207-nucleotide ribosomal RNA is filed under the name uncultured bacterium. RNAcentral describes it as "partial 16S ribosomal RNA". It matches the Rfam family "Bacterial small subunit ribosomal RNA", at positions 568 to 774 of the family's 1533-position model. The record is from RNAcentral.